GAUGAACGCUGGCGGCGUGCCUAAUACAUGCAAGUCGAGCGAACAGACGAGGAGCUUGCUCCUCUGACGUUAGCGGCGGACGGGUGAGUAACACGUGGAUAACCUACCUAUAAGACUGGGAUAACUUCGGGAAACCGGAGCUAAUACCGGAUAAUAUAUUGAACCGCAUGGUUCAAUAGUGAAAGACGGUUUUGCUGUCACUUAUAGAUGGAUCCGCGCCACAUUAGCUAGUUGGUAAGGUAACGGCUUACCAAGGCAACGAUGCGUAGCCGACCUGAGAGGGUGAUCGGCCACACUGGAACUGAGACACGGUCCAGACUCCGACGGGAGGCAGCAGUAGGGAAUCUGCCGCAAUGGGCGAAAGCUUGACGGAGCAACGCCGCGUGAGUGAUGAAGGUCUUCGGAUCGUAAAACGCUGUUAUGAGGGAAGAACAAAUGUGUAAGUAACUAUGCACGUCUUGACGGUACCUAAUCAGAAAGCCACGGCUAACUACGU
This 496-nucleotide ribosomal RNA is filed under the name uncultured bacterium. Its description in RNAcentral is "partial 16S ribosomal RNA". It matches the Rfam family "Bacterial small subunit ribosomal RNA", at positions 28 to 506 of the family's 1533-position model. The record is from RNAcentral.